UUGACCUCAGAUCAGGUAGGAAUACCCGCUGAACUUAAGCAUAUCAAUAAGCGGAGGAAAAGAAACCAACAGGGAUUGCCCUAGUAACGGCGAGUGAAGCGGCAACAGCUCAAAUUUGAAAUCUGGCGCAAGCCCGAGUUGUAAUUUGUAGAGGAUGUUUCUGGCGACGUGCCUUCCGAGUUCCCUGGAACGGGACGCCAUAGAGGGUGAGAGCCCCGUACGGUUGGAUGCCUAGCCUCUGUGAAACUCCUUCGACGAGUCGAGUAGUUUGGGAAUGCUGCUCUAAAUGGGAGGUAUACGUCUUCUAAAGCUAAAUACCGGCCAGAGACCGAUAGCGCACAAGUAGAGUGAUCGAAAGAUGAAAAGCACUUUGAAAAGAGGGUUAAAAAGUACGUGAAAUUGUUGAAAGGGAAGCGUUCAUGACCAGACUUGGGCAGGUUGAUCAUCCGUGGUUCUCCGCGGUGCACUCUGCCUGCCCAGGCCAGCAUCAGUUCGCCCCGGGGGAUAAAGGUUUCGGGAAUGUGGCUCCUCCGGGAGUGUUAUAGCCCGUUGCGUAAUACCCUGGGACGGACUG
RNAcentral lists this ribosomal RNA (574 nucleotides) under Clonostachys rogersoniana. Its description in RNAcentral is "eukaryotic LSU rRNA". It matches the Rfam family "Eukaryotic large subunit ribosomal RNA", at positions 1 to 588 of the family's 3401-position model. The record is from RNAcentral. Lineage: Eukaryota; Fungi; Ascomycota; Sordariomycetes; Hypocreales; Bionectriaceae.